GUGUGAGAAAUUAGGUAGCUCAGUCGGUAGAGCAUUGGACUUUUAAUCCAAGGGUCCAGGGUUCAAGUCCCUGCUCGGGCG
Non-coding RNA from Diabrotica virgifera virgifera (western corn rootworm), 81 nucleotides. The record is from the annotation of a RefSeq genome assembly. Lineage: Eukaryota; Metazoa; Arthropoda; Insecta; Coleoptera; Chrysomelidae.